AGUAGAACCAAUAUGGAUAUAUGGAUAUUGGAUACAUUGGAAUGCAAAAUUCAUACUCCCAAGUUGAAUUAAGAGAAGAUAAAAUUGAAAAAUAUUGGCCUUUAGAUAAUUGCUCUUCUGAAAAGAAAGGAGAAGUCAAAAAGAACUAAGCUUUCAAAUUUUAACUUAAUUCAAAUUCAGUUGAUAUGCUAAAAUUGCUUAAGAGCUAU
This 209-nucleotide long non-coding RNA is filed under the name Phoenix dactylifera (date palm). Its description in RNAcentral is "long non-coding RNA (PDAC_LNC022233)". The record is from RNAcentral. Lineage: Eukaryota; Viridiplantae; Streptophyta; Magnoliopsida; Arecales; Arecaceae.